AAAUUUUUUAAAUGGAUGUGGAAAGGA
This 27-nucleotide non-coding RNA is filed under the name Cricetulus griseus (Chinese hamster). Lineage: Eukaryota; Metazoa; Chordata; Mammalia; Rodentia; Cricetidae. The record is from RNAcentral.